AUUGAACGCUGGCGGCAUGCUUUACACAUGCAAGUCGAACGGUAACAGGCCGCAAGGUGCUGACGAGUGGCGAACGGGUGAGUAAUGCAUCGGAACGUGCCCAGUCGUGGGGGAUAACUACUCGAAAGAGUAGCUAAUACCGCAUACGAUCUAUGGAUGAAAGCGGGGUACCGCAAGGCCUCGCGCGAUUGGAGCGGCCGAUGUCAGAUUAGGUAGUUGGUGGGGUAAAGGCUCACCAAGCCAACGAUCUGCAGCUGGUCUGAGAGGACGACCAGCCACACUGGGACUGAGACACGGCCCAGACUCCUACGGGAGGCAGCAGUGGGGAAUUUUGGACAAUGGGCGCAAGCCUGAUCCAGCAAUGCCGCGUGCAGGAAGAAGGCCUUCGGGUUGUAAACUGCUUUUGUACGGAACGAAACGGCUCUGGUUAAUACCCGGGGCUAAUGACGGUACCGUAAGAAUAAGCACCGGCUAACUACGUG
This 482-nucleotide ribosomal RNA is filed under the name uncultured bacterium. RNAcentral's name for it is "partial 16S ribosomal RNA". It matches the Rfam family "Bacterial small subunit ribosomal RNA", at positions 30 to 507 of the family's 1533-position model. The record is from RNAcentral.